This is a long non-coding RNA of Sitophilus oryzae (rice weevil), 427 nucleotides long. RefSeq lists it as uncharacterized. NCBI's taxonomy places the organism in Eukaryota, Metazoa, Arthropoda, Insecta, Coleoptera, Curculionidae. The transcript has 3 exons. The record is from RefSeq and is a predicted model, not a curated record.
AGUAUGACUUAGCAGAAAUAUUCCUUUGGAAUUUUUUAUUUCCGGGAGUGUAUAAAAAUCGAGUCAAACAAGUUGUUACAACCAGGUACAAGGAGAUAAACAACAUUAGAAUAAAAGGUGCAAAGAUUCUGUUUAACAAAUCAGUUGAAAUCGACUAGCUAACGUUCGAGGUUGAAGAGGAUGCUGAAAAAUAUAACUUUUUCUAUUUUAAAUAUUCUUGUGUGUCAAUGAAUGUUCUGGAAUUUUUGGUGAUUACGAGAACACAACAAAUACAAAGUUUGGAGAAAAACUUGCACAUCAAAAAAGGCAGUCGCAGAGGAAACUCCGGCAACAGAAAGGAACUCCAAGUUCUAACUCAAAUCCACCACGUACCAUAGCUCAGAUACUUGAAUUCAAGCACACACUGAAAGAUUUUCGUUAUUUGGAA